This 484-nucleotide ribosomal RNA is filed under the name uncultured bacterium. RNAcentral describes it as "partial 16S ribosomal RNA". It matches the Rfam family "Bacterial small subunit ribosomal RNA", at positions 30 to 507 of the family's 1533-position model. The record is from RNAcentral.
AUUGAACGCUGGCGGCAGGCCUAACACAUGCAAGUCGAGCGGAUGAAGGGAGCUUGCUCCUGGAUUCAGCGGCGGACGGGUGAGUAAUGCCUAGGAAUCUGCCUGGUAGUGGGGGAUAACGUCCGGAAACGGGCGCUAAUACCGCAUACGUCCUGAGGGAGAAAGUGGGGGAUCUUCGGACCUCACGCUAUCAGAUGAGCCUAGGUCGGAUUAGCUAGUUGGUGGGGUAAAGGCCUACCAAGGCGACGAUCCGUAACUGGUCUGAGAGGAUGAUCAGUCACACUGGAACUGAGAAACGGUCCAGACUCCUACGGGAGGCAGCAGUGGGGAAUAUUGGACAAUGGGCGAAAGCCUUAUCCAGCCAUGCCGCGUGGGUGAAGAAGGUCUUCGGAUUGGAAAGCACUUUAAGUUGGGAGGAAGGGCAGUAAGUUAAUACCUUGCUGUUUUGACGUUACCAACAGAAUAAGCACCGGCUAACUUCGUG